Molecule: ribosomal RNA, 497 nt
Filed under: uncultured bacterium
Lineage: Bacteria
Description: partial 16S ribosomal RNA
Rfam family: Bacterial small subunit ribosomal RNA
Source: RNAcentral
GAUGAACGCUGGCGGCGUGCCUAAUACAUGCAAGUCGAGCGAACGGACGAGAAGCUUGCUUCUCUGAUGUUAGCGGCGGACGGGUGAGUAACACGUGGAUAACCUACCUAUAAGACUGGGAUAACUUCGGGAAACCGGAGCUAAUACCGGAUGAUAUUUUGAACCGCAUGGUUCAAAAGUGAAAGACGGUCUUGCUGUCACUUAUAGAUGGAUCCGCGCUGCAUUAGCUAGUUGGUAAGGUAACGGCUUACCAAGGCAACGAUGCAUAGCCGACCUGAGAGGGGGGGCAGCCACACGGGAACGGAGACACGGUCCAGACUCCUACGGGAGGCAGCAGUAGGGAAUAUUCCGCAAUGGUCGAAAGACUGACGGAGCAACGCCGCGGGAGUGAUGAAGGUCUUCGGAUCGUAAAACUCUGUUAUUAGGGAAGAACAAAAGUGUAAGUAACUGUGCACAUCUUGACGGUACCUAAUCAGAAAGCCACGGCUAACUACGUG